This 384-nucleotide ribosomal RNA is filed under the name uncultured bacterium. RNAcentral describes it as "bacterial SSU rRNA". It matches the Rfam family "Bacterial small subunit ribosomal RNA", at positions 28 to 414 of the family's 1533-position model. The record is from RNAcentral.
GACGAACGCUGGCGGCGUGCUUAACACAUGCAAGUCGAGCGGUAAGGCCCUUUCGGGGGUACACGAGCGGCGAACGGGUGAGUAACACGUGGGUGACCUGCCCUCAGCUCUGGGAUAAGCCUGGGAAACCGGGUCUAAUACUGGAUAUGACUCCAUGAUGCAUGUUGUGGGGUGGAAAGCCUUGUGCGGCUGAGGAUGGGCCCGCGGCCUAUCAGCUUGUUGGGGGGUGAUGGCCUACCAAGGCGACGACGGGUAGCCGGCCUGAGAGGGCGACCGGCCACACUGGGACUGAGACACGGCCCAGACUCCUACGGGAGGCAGCAGUGGGGAAUCUUGCGCAAUGGGCGAAAGCCUGACGCAGCGACGCCGCGUGAGGGAUGACGG